This 190-nucleotide ribosomal RNA is filed under the name uncultured Flavobacterium sp. RNAcentral's name for it is "partial 16S ribosomal RNA". It matches the Rfam family "Bacterial small subunit ribosomal RNA", at positions 338 to 525 of the family's 1533-position model. The record is from RNAcentral. Lineage: Bacteria; Pseudomonadati; Bacteroidota; Flavobacteriia; Flavobacteriales; Flavobacteriaceae.
CCUACCGGAGGUAGCGGUGAGGAAUAUUGGGCAAUGGAUGCAACUCUGACCCAGCCAUGCCGCGUGCAGGAAGACGGCCCUCUGGGUUGAAAACUGCUUUUAUACCGGAAGAAACCCAUCCACGUGUCGGAAUGUGAGGGUACUGUAAGAAUAAGCACCGGCUAAUUCCUCGCCGCUGCCCGCGGUAAUA